GAUGAACGCUGGCGGUAUGCUUAACACAUGCAAGUCGUACGAAAUACGAUGGGGUUUACUCUAUCGUAUGGCAGUGGCGGACGGGUGCGUAACGCGUAAGAACUUACCUUUUGGCGAGGGACAACCGCGGGAAACUGCGGCUAAUACCUCAUAGAGCUGAGGAGCGAAAGGUGAAAACCACCAAAAGAGAGGCUUGCGUCUGAUUAGCUAGUUGGUGAGGGUAAUGGCCUCCCAAGGCGACGAUCAGUAGCUGGUCUGAGAGGAUGAUCAGCCACACUGGAACUGAGACACGGUCCAGACUCCUACGGGAGGCAGCAGUGAGGAAUUUUCCGCAAUGGGCGAAAGCCUGACGGAGCAAUACCGCGUGGAGGAGGAAGGCCCGUGGGUCGUAAACUCCUUUUCUCAGAGAAGAACACAAUGACGGUAUCUGAGGAAUAAGCAUCGGCUAACUCCGUGCCAGCAGCCGCCGUAAAAC
This 475-nucleotide ribosomal RNA is filed under the name uncultured bacterium. RNAcentral's name for it is "bacterial SSU rRNA". It matches the Rfam family "Bacterial small subunit ribosomal RNA", at positions 28 to 526 of the family's 1533-position model. The record is from RNAcentral.